UACAGAGGGUGCGAGCGUUGUUCGGAAUUAUUGGGCGUAAAGCGCAUGUAGGCGGGUUGUUAAGUCGCGUGUGAAAGCCCCGGGCUCAACCUGGGAAUUGCGGUUGAAACUGGCGAACUAGAAUCUGGCAGAGGGGGGUGGAAUUCCACGUGUAGCAGUGAAAUGCGUAGAGAUGUGGAGGAACACCGAUGGCGAAGGCAGCCCCCUGGGCUGAGAGUUGACGCUCAGGCACGAAAGCGUGGGGAGCAAACAGGG
This 255-nucleotide ribosomal RNA is filed under the name uncultured bacterium. RNAcentral's name for it is "partial 16S ribosomal RNA". It matches the Rfam family "Bacterial small subunit ribosomal RNA", at positions 524 to 777 of the family's 1533-position model. The record is from RNAcentral.